This 425-nucleotide long non-coding RNA is filed under the name Equus caballus (horse). RNAcentral describes it as "lncRNA (ENSECAG00000045683.1)". Lineage: Eukaryota; Metazoa; Chordata; Mammalia; Perissodactyla; Equidae. The record is from RNAcentral.
CAAACUUGAAUGAAAAGAAAUGAACCUCAUGUUUAUAGCAGCUUUAUUCAUAAUUGCCAAAACUUGGAAGCAACCAAGAUGUCCUUGAGUAGGUCUGAGUGCCCGAAACAAUUUCUGCCGCCUGAGUUGCUGGGAAUUCAGAUUAGUUGCUAUCAAACCAACCCUCUAACGGAAUCCGUCAGCCACUGCACACAGCGAGAGGAGGGAUCUUGCAAAGCUGGGGUUACACAUCAAGAUGGAAUUGAAGGAAACAAUUUCAAUGCAAGGAACUGGAGAGAGAUCACAAGGUUAUAAGAUUCAUAUGACAACCGUGUCACCUAAAGCAAGCAAAACAAGCUCUUGUAUGACAGUUGGGACACCUGCUGAUGACUGGCACGUAGGCUGAAAUUUCCACUAAGGGAAAUCGCUAUAAAAAUUGAUGAGAA